UUAGCUAGCCCGCUGCUCUGACAAUACUUGAUCCUGCAGGUGCUUGUUGCCUUGAUGGAAUAUUGUGAUGAUUAUUUAACAAUUUACAAUCUGGUGAUUUACUAAAUUUAUUUAAAUUCCACAGCCAUCUCCUUUACCAGAUCUUAAAAAAGCACUCUACAGUAUACCGUACCCUCUCAAGUAGUACUACUUGGCCUGAGAAAAUGCUUAUACAUUGUCCUCUGUAGCUCUGAAGGGAGUUUUCUGUACUCUGAAAGAACAAUCCUGGUGAUGUCAUCAUGGUUUCACCAUCAUUUUUAGCAAAGUUUGCCAUUAAUAGUGACCAUCUCUGUCGGUCUGUCGGUCAGUGAUCCCACAACUUUGGUCCUGAUGGAAGAAUCUCAACAACUAAUGGAUCGAUUUCCAUAAUAUCCGAUAGAGAUAUGUAAGGUGCCCAGAGGAUAAAUUUGAAUGACUUCGUGAUUCCCUGAAUUUUCUUAUAGCGCCACCAGCAGGUUUACAUUUUUAGCUUUUAGUAACACGUCUCAACAUCUAUUUAAUGGAUUGCCAUUAAAUAAGAUUCAGACAUGUAUCUUUUCCUAGGUACAUUGUCAUCACUUGUGUGAUGUUUUUAAGGUCCCAUG
Long non-coding RNA from Sander lucioperca (pikeperch), 623 nucleotides. RefSeq lists it as uncharacterized. The transcript is spliced from 3 exons. Lineage: Eukaryota; Metazoa; Chordata; Actinopteri; Perciformes; Percidae. The record is from RefSeq and is a predicted model, not a curated record.